UCACAAUGACAAUGUCAGUGUGUGCUCAUUUGAUCAGUCUUUGUCCGUCAACAGUUCUUCCCCUUGCCCCUUUUUUAAUUUAUUUAUGAAUAUAUUUUUCUCAUAAUAUGUUCUUGGAUUUUUUAUCAAAUUAUAUUGAAAAUUCAUGAGAUUCGAACCCUCGAGAUGACAUUGUUGUGUUUGAUCAUGUCAUGACUUAAAUCUAAGAACUACUUAAUGUGUUUGAUCUUAUCAGACUAAAAAACUAGGUACUACUUAAUCUGAUUUUUGUGGAUGUUUCUCCAACGUAAUGUAGUAUAUAAUUAAGUAGUACUUAGUUUUUAUUUUAUGAAUAUGCAUUUUCAAAGUAUUGCAGUAAAUGUGUACCUGACGAAAUUAAUGUUUUUCAUGAUACAAACAGCUUAUGCAGCCACGGUUUCAGUAACCGUUGGACACUUUGUUUGAGAUUCGCCAUCAAUCAAUAGCUUCUUCCCAGAUGUUUGCUGAACACAUGUCCUACACAGAAAAGUAUGGCUAGCAUGUUUUAGAAAAUAGGAAUGUGUACAUGUGGUGAGGUUUCCAGAUGGUCUGAGGAUGAUUUUGUUUACAGUGUUAAAAUUAUUUUAUUUAAAUAUAGAUGAUGAAUUUUUAUUUCACAGAUAGUGUGUUUAUUUAUCAGUUGACAAUGUGAUCAGUUGAUCGGUCUGUUGAUUAUGAUAAUUGUGGCAGUUGUUAACUUUGUGUAUUGUGCAGCUGUAUGCUGUCAGCUGUUGAACUGAAAUAAGGAGGUGAGCUACAGUGCCAUUUUUUUCUUGUAAAAACAUCACAAAAUAUUAUUUGAUAUGUGUGAAGAUUCAAAUCACGUAUUAGCUUACGUUGUUUUACAGUUGUUCAUGUGGGUACAAAUUUUGGAUUAACAAGAAAAUUGUUUGAUAAUAAAAGUGUUUCAUUUUUCAUCAAA
Molecule: long non-coding RNA, 940 nt
Organism: Haliotis rubra (blacklip abalone)
Lineage: Eukaryota; Metazoa; Mollusca; Gastropoda; Lepetellida; Haliotidae
Exons: 2
Source: RefSeq, a predicted model, not a curated record